GGACUACUGGGGUUUCUAAUCCCGUUUGCUCCCCUGGCUUUCGCGCCUCAGCGUCAGAAGAGGUCCAGCAGGCCGCUUUCGCCACCGGCGUUCCUUCCGAUAUCUACGCAUUUCACCGCUCCACCGGAAGUUCCACCUGCCCCUACCUCCCUCGAGACCACCCGUAUCGGAGGCCCUUGUCCGGUUGGGCCGAACGCUUUCACCCCCGACUCGGUGACCCGCCUACGCGCCCUUUAAGCCCAGUGAAUCCGAACAACGUUUGCACGGUUCGUCUUACCGCGGCGGCUGGCAC
This 292-nucleotide ribosomal RNA is filed under the name uncultured Planctomycetota bacterium. RNAcentral describes it as "uncultured planctomycete partial 16S ribosomal RNA". Lineage: Bacteria; Pseudomonadati; Planctomycetota. The record is from RNAcentral.